This 467-nucleotide ribosomal RNA is filed under the name uncultured bacterium. RNAcentral describes it as "partial 16S ribosomal RNA". It matches the Rfam family "Bacterial small subunit ribosomal RNA", at positions 28 to 507 of the family's 1533-position model. The record is from RNAcentral.
GACGAACGCUGGCGGCGUGCUUAACACAUGCAAGUCGAACGGAAAGGCCCUGCUUUUGUGGGGUGCUCGAGUGGCGAACGGGUGAGUAACACGUGAGUAACCUGCCCUUGACUUUGGGAUAACUUCAGGAAACUGGGGCUAAUACCGGAUAGGAGCUCCUGCUGCAUGGUGGGGGUUGGAAAGUUUCGGCGGUUGGGGAUGGACUCGCGGCUUAUCAGCUUGUUGGUGGGGUAGUGGCUUACCAAGGCUUUGACGGGUAGCCGGCCUGAGAGGGUGACCGGCCACAUUGGGACUGAGAUACGGCCCAGACUCCUACGGGAGGCAGCAGUGGGGAAUAUUGCACAAUGGGCGGAAGCCGGAUGCAGCAACGCCGCGUGCGGGAUGACGGCCUUCGGGUUGUAACCGCUUUCGCCUGUGACGAAGCGUGAGUGACGGUAAUGGGUAAAGAAGCACCGGCUAACUACGUG